RNAcentral lists this unclassified non-coding RNA (4058 nucleotides) under Homarus americanus (American lobster). Its description in RNAcentral is "yEATS domain-containing protein 2-like, transcript variant X1". The record is from RNAcentral. Lineage: Eukaryota; Metazoa; Arthropoda; Malacostraca; Decapoda; Nephropidae.
GUGGUGUGGCCAUGUGUUGGGGCGGGCUCCUGGACACCCGGAGCUCUCUCUUAUUUGUCACAAAAACUUCACACUGCUGUCCUUUAGAUCUGCCAAUAUGAUUAAUUCUGAAGAGGAAGUGUCUAUGUUAGGUGCAAGCAUGCAGGGCCAAAGCUCUUGUAGCAGCAGUGCUGAGAGAACCUCCCUCAAGAUGGAAGAUGAGGACAGUAGAGACACUUCACAGGUGUUCGGUUCAAAGAGGAUGUUGAGUAUAGAUGAUCCAGACUAUAUGCGUCCACCAGAUGUCAAGCGAAUGAGAGAAAUGCACAAAAGAGCCGAGGAUGAACUAAGUGAACGUGUGGUGAAGGUGGUUGACAAAGAAUUUCAUUAUGCCAUGACUGAGAAGCAAGCAGAGAUGGAAGAGAUUGAUAAUCGAAUUUUACGGUUGCAGCAAUGUCUACACACCCUCCGCUACUGUGUCUCCUUGAACUAUUAUGCUGUUAAUAAGACUAAAGAUGUUGAUAGCAAGCAGAAACAGAUGCUCCAUCCAGCAGUCCGGAAACACUUGGGGAAAGCACCAGUUAAGUCUGCUGGCAGUAGUUCCCCCUUCCCAAAUUCACCUGUAUACCAGAGCUUUGGCAGAAAUAAACUACCUCAUGGAGAAUAUAAAGAAAGUGUUGAGAAAGGAUCAGUAAAGGAAGAACAUGCAGAUAUGGUGGAAAGUGUUGAAAGAUUUUCAAGUGAAACUGAUAGAAUUAGCAGUGAUCAUAGAGAAAUUCAGGAGGCUACAGAUGGCAAAUGUAAAGACUUGUCAGACACCAUUGAUGAAGAUACUAAUAAAAAUUUUAGGUCUCCACGACCUCCAAGCCCAAAAUACCUUCCCCCUAAGCCACCAGACAACCCCCACACCAUAUUCCAGGGACGACACCAACGGUUCCAGAGCAAAAGAAGAGUGGUAGUGGGCAAUACUUACCAGUACUUAACUUCACAUGGUGAUGAAGAUGUCGGCGAUGCUCUGAGAUACAAGUGGCAAGUCUAUGUGAGGGCACCAAUGGAGGGUGAAGAUGUUUCUACCUUUAUCUCUGCAGUCACUUUUAUAUUGGAUCAGAGCUAUGCUCCACACCAUAUUAUCACACUCAAACAUCCUCCAUUUGUGUUGACUCGACGAGGCUGGGGGGAGUUCAAGAUUCAGAUAGUGUUGAGGUUUACAGACACUCGUAACAAGCAGGUGAAGCUCCUCCACCCACUGGUGCUGAGUCGACAGGAUGACCCACUUGCUCUGACAGGAUUAUGGAGGUUAGGUCAGGAGAAAUGGUAUGACCUCUGGGUAUAUGAACCAGGCUCAGAGAGGACAACCAAUAUCAGUGGAUCACAACAGACAACACAACUGAUUAUGAAAGAAGAGAAUUGUCCAGCUACUCUCGUCAAGGAACUGGAAACUGGUGUGGUGUCAUCUCAAAUUGAAGAAAAUAUCACAAUUGUUCACAGUGUUGAACAGAAAAGUACUGUUGAUUGUGUUAAACAGACAACUCCUGUUAAACAGGAAAGUGUAAAGAAAGUUAUAAUAAGUUCUGACAAAAACACUAUCAUUAAAAAUGUGAGAAAAAAGAUGGUUGAAUCAGUGGCUUCAUGUAAACAACUUUCCCUUAUUGGUACUCAGUGUGAAAAUGAAGUUAGUGGUGAUGUAAUUAUAAACAAAGUAUAUGAUGAAAAGCGUGAAAAAAUUAGUACAGUAGAGUCUAAAAUUAAACUUGAGGGAACAGAAGAAAAUAAGGCACAAGGACUUAAACCACCAAAAGACCAUCUGGGUGACAAAAUGACCAAUGUCAAUGGUGCUCAAGGCAAAGUUUGUAAAAUACACGUGCGACAGCCAGAUGGACGUCUGGUGCCAUACUACAUCCCAGCUCAUAUGUACUCUUUAGCUCUCAAGAUUGCUCAGGGUGGUGCAAAUAAGCAGGAAAAUGAAGUGGAUGCUCUUGAUAGCAAGCUAGUUAAUCAGCAUGGAAUAGUUAGCAAGCAUAAUGUUAGUCAAAAGAUAAUUAAGCUGCAUGUCCCAGAAAAACAGCAGAAAGGAGACACUGAAGGUUUUACCAUAAAACAAGAGCCAAGUGAAAUAUUGACUCAUCAAAGGGAAGGAUCAAAGGUAGUAACAUUAGAAGUAAAGGCUGAGGUUGAGCAGGACAAUACCAAAGUUUCUGGUACACCAAUAAAAAUUCUAAAUUUUUCUCCGAAUAAAAAUGCAGUGAAAGAUAAUGGGGGAUCAAUGAAUAUGGCUCCAUCAACCAGCGGUAUUCAGGGUGUGUCGAGACCAUCCCAUGUUACUCAGGGAAAUCAGACCAUAGCACGAUUAUCGACCAGCAGACUUUCUCAAAGACCUUUACAACAGCUUCUGGUGAAGGCUGCCAUUCAAGAUAAGAAACACACUUUAGUUAAACAACUUUUGAAUAAAAAGGGGUUGAAGGGUGGUGCUGGUGACACACUGCACAUGUUGCAGGGUCAAGUAACAUAUACUCAAACACCUGUAGGUUUAAAGUCAAACAUACAGGUAAUGCCACUGAAAAUAGUUCAGGAAGUAAAAAAUAGUAGCUCCACAUCAACCAGAUUUAUUCAGAGACCAUUAUCAACUGCAAACAUUAAAUUCAUAACCAAUAAUGGGCAAUUGAUAUCAGCAGGUAAACUCGCCAAAGGGAAAACUUGUUCAGAUUCCAGUCAAGUAACUUCUAGUAUGAACAUGGCCACUAGUUCAGCCCCAACAGUAAGCAGUUGCAUCCUUACAACAUCAAAUAAUACUUCAGCAUUGACCACAGUGCAGGGAAGCCAACAAGUUGCCGGGUCAAGUGGUCUACAGCUAGUAACAAGUAAAGGAAAGAUGACUCCAACACAGCAUCCUCCAAUGAUAGUUUGCAGUAACGCAGGAGACACGGGGACAGUACUGCAAAUACCACCCUUUGUGGUCAGAGGUAUGGGAAAUGAUGGUGCAUUAAAACCUACAUCAAACUCAGUGAAGUGCACACCCAGUAAUGCAAAAAAUAUGACUGCAGGAGUGUCACUUCUACGAGGUAUCACCAUGGCAACAUCUCCAACAGUAUGUAGCUUGCUCAAACCCCUCACCAAUACCACAAAUUCUGGGGUCACUUCUACCACUUCUGUUCUCAAUAAUGUGCAAACGAAGGUUACAAGUAACUCGCCUGUUAUUAAGAGCCUUUCUUUUAAUGCAUCUUCUGACAAGACAAACAUAGCAUUUGUAAAAAUGGAGACAGUGUCAGAAGACAGAAACAAGGAGGAGGAUGGAAGUACUUCUCAGGAAUGGGAGGAGCGGGUCAGACAGCUGGAAGCAGUGUGCAAAAGAUGUACUUCUACUGACAAGUGUGUGUAUGUUUGGGUGAGAGCAUUGCCACUGGAUCAACACCAAUAUAAAUAUUCCCAAGUGUUACCCUUUUGUGCCAAAUCUCGCGAAGAAUUUCUGUGCUGGCCAUUGGGGAAGCAGCGUGCUGCAGAAUUCCAGAGAGCACGAGAGGUUAAACAUCACCUUGAUCAGUACCAAGUUAGUAGCAGAGAAUCGUGGAGUGUGGGCAGGAUAGUAGCUUGGGCUAGGCGUCAUGCCCACACACCUACACCACCCAGAGCUCCACUACGCACAGAUCAAUUUUCUUUAUCUGUGAGCACAAAACCUGAGAAAACCUUAUCAUACUUGGGCAAUCUAGAAAAAUUGGUGCAAGAUGUUGAUAACUGUAUGCCAGUGAAUGGCCAGGUUGGACUGCAAGAAGUUGAUGUUGUCACUAUUGAUGAUGAUGUGAAGACUUCAUGUGGACACAAGUUAUCAGCUUGAUGGGAUGUGAUAAGGCAUUAUAAGUCAUAAUAAUGCUUAAUAAGAGUGGUGAUGGACCAACAAAGAAUGGUAGAGACUUGAACUUGUUACCCUAGACCAUCUUUACCAUCCUCAACACAGUUUCUCCUCAGAAAUGUCCACUGGAAUUUGUGCCUUGGGAAGACUCAGAAAUGGUUAGUGGGUGUGAAUGGGUUGGGCAGCAUACCUCACAGCUCAGGCUCAAUCUCUCAACUGAAGAAGUUCUCACAGG